UCGGCCGUGGGAGGGGACCCCGCCCCGGGCCCGCUGCCCGCGGGCGGCCGCAACCGAGUUUGGGGAGCUGGGUUCGGUUGUCCCGCUCUCGACC
Molecule: non-coding RNA, 94 nt
Organism: Turdus rufiventris (rufous-bellied thrush)
Lineage: Eukaryota; Metazoa; Chordata; Aves; Passeriformes; Turdidae
Source: the annotation of a GenBank genome assembly